This 403-nucleotide unclassified non-coding RNA is filed under the name soil metagenome. Its description in RNAcentral is "partial contains 5.8S ribosomal RNA, internal transcribed spacer 2, and large subunit ribosomal RNA". The stretch from base 1 to 120 matches the Rfam family "5.8S ribosomal RNA", at positions 35 to 154 of the family's 154-position model. The record is from RNAcentral.
GAUGAAGAACGUAGCGAAAUGCGAUAAGUAAUGUGAAUUGCAGAAUUCAGUGAAUCAUCGAAUCUUUGAACGCACCUUGCGCCCUUUGGCAUUCCGAAGGGCAUGCCUGUUUGAGUAUCAUGAACACCUCAACUCUUCAUGGUUUUCCAUGAUGAGCUUGGACUUUGGGGGUCUUGCUGGCCUGCGGUCGGCUCCUCUCAAAUGAAUCAGCUUACCAGUGUUUGGUGGGCAUCACAGGUGUGAUAACUAUCUGCGCUUGUGGUUUUCCACCAAGUAACCUUCAGCAGUGGAGGUUCACUGGAGCUCACAGACGUCUCUCCUCAGUGAGGACAGCCCUUUGAAUGUUUGAUCUCAAAUCAGGGAGGACUACCCGCUGAACUUAAGCAUAUCAAUAAGCGGAGGA